This 486-nucleotide ribosomal RNA is filed under the name uncultured bacterium. RNAcentral's name for it is "partial 16S ribosomal RNA". It matches the Rfam family "Bacterial small subunit ribosomal RNA", at positions 30 to 507 of the family's 1533-position model. The record is from RNAcentral.
AUUGAACGCUGGCAGCAUGCCUUACACAUGCAAGUCGAACGGCAGCACGGGUGCUUGCACCUGGUGGCGAGUGGCGAACGGGUGAGUAAUACAUCGGAACAUGUCCUGUAGUGGGGGAUAGCCCGGCGAAAGCCGGAUUAAUACCGCAUACGAUCCACGGAUGAAAGCGGGGGACCUUCGGGCCUCGCGCUAUAGGGUUGGCCGAUGGCUGAUUAGCUAGUUGGUGGGGUAAAGGCCUACCAAGGCGACGAUCAGUAGCUGGUCUGAGAGGACGACCAGCCACACUGGGACUGAGACACGGCCCAGACUCCUACGGGAGGCAGCAGUGGGGAAUUUUGGACAAUGGGCGAAAGCCUGAUCCAGCAAUGCCGCGUGUGUGAAGAAGGCCUUCGGGUUGUAAAGCACUUUUGUCCGGAAAGAAAUCCUUGACUCUAAUACAGUCGGGGGAUGACGGUACCGGAAGAAUAAGCACCGGCUAACUACGUG